UUUACAGUAGUAAAGGACAACAGGUACAAACCGGUGAAGAAACACAACAGAGCCGACAGACACCCCACCCAGGCCCACGCAGCAAACAGGCAGAAACAUUUUCCUCGGGACUUUAAGCAAGCGAGAGAUGGUAGGUCAGUGUCGGGUGACUAUAAAAGGCAGAGAUGGCCAUCAAGCAGCAAUGGAUCCUUACAGAAGGAUGGCAGGCAGGAACUAUAGACAUUUAACUGACCCCACGAUGCAGAACCGCAGUCACCCACCGAGGCGUCCCGUUAACACACACUUGGAAAACUGCACACCACAAUCCGGGAAAAUGAGGUCACCUUUCCUGGGCUUGCUUUUGCAACCACACUUGAAAGCGGGGCUCUUACACAACACUGCAGCAAACUUGAUACUUAACUGAUUACCUUCUUAGACAGAAACCAUAAUUAUAUAUCUAGCAAGGACCAGAAGAAUCUGAGAUCAUGUUCAAUUUCCAAAUGGGACGGGACAAUUACUUUCUUGGACAUUAUAAAAAGGGUGGGGGGUGGGUUUCACUAUGCCACCCUUACCGAUGUAUCCAUUACCAGAUGCCAGAAGCAAGUGGGCAUAUGCCGGCCUGGGCCACAGUAGGAAGACUCCUCACAGUUUUUAAGAAGCACUGGUCUUUUUCCCUUAACUUCACCAUAUGCUUGACAAAGCUCAAAUUUACAGUAUUUCACAUUUUAAUAUCCUAUGCCUACAACAAACGGGUGGAAUUCUGCUUCUCUGCCCCUCCCCACAUCCCACAGGUAUGCCCACUGGGUAAUGUGACCACAAGCUCUCUCUACCUGAUCAGGACAAGUCACACCGGAGGAAACCAUAGUUCUAGGGAUUAGACUCAGGCCACAGGGUGAGAGUCUGUACAUCCAGACCCAAGUUUGGGGGAGAAAAAAUUUUAGAAAUGGGAGGAAACAAAUGAAAACAAAACAAACCCCAAAAACCCCACGCCUCAUUUCCCCCAAACCAAACCCUCCUAACGACCAGGGUAUGUAAUGCUCUCGCCCUGCAGCGUAUUCUGGAUGUAGUUCACUCCAAGCGCAUCGGGAAAGGAGACUCUUUUCGGUGACUCUGGCUUCUGCGGACUCUUGUGUGAUUGGUGUGGCUGCAUGGUCACCAUUCAAUAGCAAAUGUCAGGAAAAUGGCUGGGUGUGGGGACGCUGGCUCGGGAGGCCGUUCCUCCCGUCUGCUGCUGGAAUACAUCAAUGGUGUCCUCAUCCUCCAUCUCCAGCUUUCGAAGUGUCUGUUUCGUUGAUUGGUUGUCCAUCAAACCGGAAUCGAAUCUGCCUCAUUGACAACACGUACCUGCCUCUCACAGUAGGCCUUCAUCAGCUUGCUCAGCGGAGUGUGCCUCUUGAUCUUGAACUGCACCACUGAGCCAUCCUGCCCUGCCACUUUCAGGUUGAUGUGGUCGUUCUCUGUCUUCACACCCUCCUUGGGCUUCUCUUCCGACAUGGUUGCGCGGCGACGGCGGCGGCAAGCGCAGCGGGAACCGGUGGCACUGGAGCGGGCGAGUCACGCUCUCUGCCC
Long non-coding RNA from Rattus norvegicus (Norway rat), 1548 nucleotides. Ensembl annotates it as small ubiquitin-like modifier 3. Its record names the gene Sumo3. Lineage: Eukaryota; Metazoa; Chordata; Mammalia; Rodentia; Muridae. The record is from Ensembl.